This 69-nucleotide transfer RNA is filed under the name Panthalis oerstedi. RNAcentral's name for it is "tRNA-Gln". Lineage: Eukaryota; Metazoa; Annelida; Polychaeta; Phyllodocida; Acoetidae. The record is from RNAcentral.
UGAGAAGUAGUGUACGGUGCACACAGAUCUUUGACCCCUGUAGAACCGGUUCGAUCCCCGUCCUCUCAA